Cimex lectularius (bed bug) is the source of this 370-nucleotide long non-coding RNA. RefSeq lists it as uncharacterized. The transcript has 3 exons. The record is from RefSeq and is a predicted model, not a curated record. Lineage: Eukaryota; Metazoa; Arthropoda; Insecta; Hemiptera; Cimicidae.
UCGAGAAUGAUAUUUUUACUUAAUAGAGUGGGCAUAAUGCUGUAUUUUAAUAGAUUAGUUAAAAGAUAAUUCUUAAUCGCAGAUUUGUUGUUUUCAACGACCCAGAUUUCGAGUAUUAAACACUGGUUGUAAGAAAAGAGCGCUGUACUCGUCAUAUCAAGUAGUAGCUUGAGAGCAGUCGUGGCGUCUACUUCUAUCAAAUCAAACAGUUAACAGGCUCACUGUCUCAUCCUCAGCAGCCCCAAUGAGUUAUUCUUUCAAUCCUAAUCUCUACACAAUGGACAGUUUUAAAUACACUGCAACUAAGAGCAUAUCUAGAUGGAUGUAAAUAAGCCUGCAUAAAUAGGCCACAAAGUAAUAAAAAAAUUAU